Molecule: ribosomal RNA, 381 nt
Filed under: Triticum aestivum (bread wheat)
Lineage: Eukaryota; Viridiplantae; Streptophyta; Magnoliopsida; Poales; Poaceae
Description: partial small subunit ribosomal RNA
Source: RNAcentral
AUGCAGCUCCGAUUCCCAGCAGCCAAUGGCCUCCGAAUCCGUCGCAUCUCCGCAUCACAAGACGCUCGCUGGAGAGCAGUCCAUAUCCAUCGCCACAAGAUCCAUCACCAGGAGCAGCCUUGUGGACCAGCCAGCGCCCCUCCAGAUCUGCAUCGUGCCCGCAGCCUACCAAGAGCCCUCCAGGCCGUAUCCGUUGGAGAGCAGCAUGCCCUCCCACCGCCGCCGCAUACGCCGGCGGCAACGGCAGCAAGAAGCGACGAGAAGAAGGGCUCCUGGAGAAAGGGAUUUGGGCGCCCCGGUGCCGCCCGUUGGGCGCGACAUGGGAGCGAGGGCUCUGUUCCUUUUUCCUUUAUAGAGCUGUUAUGGCUAGUUUUUUCCUAA